AGAGUGUUAUGAUGUUGGAAGAUAUUUUUCCGAGUCUAGCUCAGCGCUGCUCCUCAAGCGAAUAUCGCUUGGGG
Non-coding RNA from Enterococcus faecium DO, 74 nucleotides. NCBI's taxonomy places the organism in Bacteria, Bacillati, Bacillota, Bacilli, Lactobacillales, Enterococcaceae. The record is from Rfam.